AUGCAGAAUCACAGCAUAACUUACUUGUUCCGAUCUCUAGAAGUGCUGCCUAGCAUUCUGUCCCAGAAAUCCACAAUAUUGCGACCAAGAGGCUCUUCGUGCUUCAGACCGACCUUUCCUGGGAAUUUAUCUCCCAUUUCAGGAUUGAAAAAUGUUCUCACCAUGCCCACAUUCAACCUCAGAUUGGUGGCCAUCCGGCUGGAUGCAUUGCCUGCCCCCCUAACCACUGUAACGCCAAUACCAUCAGCUGAAACAACAUUUCAAUCUUACUAUCUUAAUUUAUCUCGGACAUACGGGCACUUGUGUCAUGAGCAUAUGAGUUAA
This 324-nucleotide ribosomal RNA is filed under the name Triticum aestivum (bread wheat). Its description in RNAcentral is "partial small subunit ribosomal RNA". The record is from RNAcentral. Lineage: Eukaryota; Viridiplantae; Streptophyta; Magnoliopsida; Poales; Poaceae.